Myodes glareolus (Bank vole) is the source of this 2701-nucleotide long non-coding RNA. RefSeq lists it as uncharacterized. NCBI's taxonomy places the organism in Eukaryota, Metazoa, Chordata, Mammalia, Rodentia, Cricetidae. The record is from RefSeq and is a predicted model, not a curated record.
GGUGACGCCUGUUUAUUUGGUGUAAUAGCUGUUUACAGUUAGAACUUUAAAGACUUGCCAGAGUAGAUCUGCUGGAUUUUAAAGAUCUCAUCUUUCUUGUGGCAGAGACACAACACCAGCGUCGGGAAAGGCAACAGAUUGCUUCUGUCAUUUCGCUUUGCUGUUUUCGAGUGUACUUAAAGGAUUAUGAUUGAUAAGGCUGUCUUGCUGGAGAAUGUUGACACAGAACCGCAGUUCAUACUGGACUUCUGGCUGCCCGUGGAAGGAGGUGAUUCAGAAGACAGGAAGUGACAGGAAUCUAACAGCACAUUAAAGCCUCAAGACAAAGCAGUGAACUCCAGCAGUGUUGCCACCUUGAAGACGGGAGUGUGGAAGAGAGUCACGGAAAUGAAGAUUUGUCCUAAAGGGAUAUUUCUCCUGGCCCUGCCUUAGAGCUCCUGGGCCCUGGACUUUGUGAACAUGGAGACCAGGUACUAGAACUAAUUCUGGUGUGAAAUGGUCACUUGGAAGCACUCAUUAAAGACCAGCAUUCAGUUCUAGUGAUUAAUUUCCCUUUCAGUGCCUUCUACCCGAGCCGAAGUGCUUCUGCAGAGACGAAUUCUGUGAAGCCUGUUUAGGGGAUCAUCCCCUCUAGACAGACAGCUGCAAGGGGCAUCGCUUCCCAGCAUGGAUUUCAGAUUAUGACCAAUCAAAGGCCGGAGCUAAGGAACACCUGUCAGCGGCGGUUGCUGCAAGGAGACCAGCUCUUUAAUCGAAUUUCAUUGUACUUCAGAAAAAGGUUUAUUUUAAAUGUGGCGUCUGCUUUUAUGAUUCAUCCUUCUCAGCUUAGACAUCAAUUUGGGGCUUAUUUAUGAUGUUGUUUUAGGGUAAAACGAGAAACUGCAAGAAAAUAUUUCAAGAAAGUGGCCUUUCCCAGACAUUUAAUUAGCAACUUUCUCAGGUGGGAAAAUACAAAAUUGAAAACUUGAGUUUUGAAUUUUUGUGUGUGAAUAUAAUUAGUGUUAGGGAUUCUUUUGAGGACACUCCAGAAUGUUGAUAUUUGUCGUGAAGUCUGGAGAACUUGCCUUGUGGAAAUCCGUUCCUUUUCUGUGAGCAGUGCAAACUAUCAUUGAUACUGAUGGGUUCUGAAAGGCCAUGCCUGCUUUCAACUUGGCCCUAAUUGGAGGCCCUGCUAAGCCCAUAAGUCCAUAAUACCAGGUACUUUCUCACAACUGCAGACCAUGGAGUGUAACUAUCAGAAGACAAACUUCACUGUGCAAACUGUAACUUAAUGGUAUAACUGUGUGCAGCCCUGAAUAUCAGUUAAUUUUCAAAACAUUUUAUUCUACAGCAAUUAGCUCAGGUCCUGGAGGGCAAAAUGACAAGAGGUUACUCGUUCACUAUGUAUUUAAUUAAUUGAAAAAUGCUCCAAUUGCCUUUACAGUUGUUAUUAGAAAGCGGAAUCAGUGUUGCCAGCGCUCAACCAUAAUUGGAACCCCAGGGAAUUAAAUAUUUAGCAUUAGUAAUGUAACAGCACUUAGGACACAAAUUUCUAUUUUCGUAAUGAAAGCUAUACACUGUGAGUGCAAGCGGCUGAAAGGACAGCUGUGACAAGCGAAACGGCCUGGGACAUUUCAAUAAGACACCUCAUUGGACAGCAAGUCUUACCACAUUAUGCGUUUGUAAGAGACCUGCAAGUUUAAUUCCCACGAGGAACUCGUAGCCCAAGUCUUUAGCGUCCUAAUUGCAUGCAGGAUGAGUGGUCGGGCAAAUGUCUUGCCAUAAGUGCCUGAAAUUCAUCCUGCUUUCUAAAUAAUCGCAUAUAAGUUCGUGCCUUUGUCAAUUUAAAAAUACUGAGACUGUCAGGGAAUAAGGAUCUUAUUUGUUUUCCAUUUAAUUAUAUUUUAAGCACACAUGCUUUCUGUGCUACAAUGAGAAAAAGUUGGCUAUUGGGCUCUAAUGAGCUGCAGUGUAGACGCUGGAGACCCUGAGGGAUUCGCUCCGUAAAUUAGCUGGAUAAAAAGUACUUGGUUAGGAUAUAGUUGAUGGCUGAGCUGUUCACAGAACCAGUUACAGCACUGUCUCUCGCUCCUGUUUCGUUCUAAACAGGCUCUGUAGAGACUUUAACAGCUGCCUGUCAAAGCUGCUCAGCUUGUCAGAAUGUAUUCUAUUACUCCACUAAUAAAUAGUAUUAAAGGGUAUUUGACUUCACCUCUCAUUUUCAGAGGGGAUCAGGUUGGUAAACACAACUGGCUUAGGCUGGCCUUAUUUUAAUUUGUUUAUGUCAGCUAAGUAAUAUUGAAGGGUCGUGUUUUAAAUUUGCAAACAUUACCUUCCCAGGGAGGCAGAGCUUCCAAAAUAUGAUACGCAGUGGAAACAAGGGAUUGAGACACUUAUUGUAGAAUGUUUCUCAUUGAAAACGUCAGAUUUUGACAUUCUUAGGCCACAUUUAAAGAACUUGAGAGCCCAUGGCUAAGCUGACAGUCUUAGAAAGUUUGGUUCCUUUGCCUUUUUCAUUUCUAGGAAAAUAAAAGCCAUAAGAUAAAUAAUGUCACAACUUCCUUUUGAUUUUCCAUUGUUCCUAUGUCUGUUUUGAAUUAUUCUGAGUAAUCAUGAUUUUGUAUCCAUUCUUAAACAUUUUUUUCAAAACAAUGCAUGUUUACUUAAAAAAAAAAAAACUUCAUUUGAUAAAGUCUUCCUUAGACCUGCCUUCAGCCCUGUC